Ictidomys tridecemlineatus (thirteen-lined ground squirrel) is the source of this 77-nucleotide non-coding RNA. The record is from Rfam. NCBI's taxonomy places the organism in Eukaryota, Metazoa, Chordata, Mammalia, Rodentia, Sciuridae.
GGGAAUGUAGCUCAGUGGUAGAGAGCUUGCUUAGCAUGUCAUGUGCAAGGCUCUGGGUUCAAUCCCCAGCAACACCC